GCCCCAAAGAGGGGAGGGAGAAGGCUGGCAUGACCCUCACCUGCCUCUGCAGCAGUAGGGGGCAAACAUGCCAAUGCAGACCCAAGGUGCAGCCUCUCCACCUGUGUACCUUCCUAUUCCUGGUCAGAUGGCUGGUUCAGGACGGUCCUCACCUUGAGCCAGACCAUUGCAUGGUGUCCCUGUCCAGCCCAUCCUCCGGUGAUCCCAGAAGGAUGUUGAGUCACUGGCCUGCAGUGAGCUCACUGGAGUGAGCAGGCACCACACUUGGUCAUCCUAGCCCUGCCUGA
Molecule: long non-coding RNA, 287 nt
Organism: Lemur catta (Ring-tailed lemur)
Lineage: Eukaryota; Metazoa; Chordata; Mammalia; Primates; Lemuridae
Exons: 3
Source: RefSeq, a predicted model, not a curated record